UCCCUAUGGGGUGCAGCAGGCGCGAAACCUCCACAAUGCACGAAAGUGUGACGGGGCUACCCCGAGUGCCGUCCGCUGAGGAUGGCUUUUCCUUGGUGUAACUAGCCGGGGGAAUAAGGAGAGGGCAAGACUGGUGUCAGCCGCCGCGGUAAUACCAGCUCUCCGAGUGGUAGGGAUGAUUAUUGGGCUUAAAGCGUCCGUAGCCGGCUUAGCAAGUUUCCUGUUAAAUUCAGCGACCUAAUCGUUGAGCCGCGGGAAAUACUACUAGGCUAGGAGGCGGGAGAGGUCGACGGUACUUCUGGGGUAGGGGUGAAAUCCUAUAAUCCCGGGAGGACCACCAGUGGCGAAGGCUGUCGACUAGAACGCGCUCGACGGUGAGGGACGAAAGCUGGGGGAGCGAACCGGAUUAGAUACCCGGGUAGUCCCAGCUGUAAACGAUGCGGGCUAGGUGUUGGGGUGGCUACGUGCCACUUCAGUGCCGCAGGGAAGCCAUUAAGCCCGCCGCCUGGGGAGUACGGCCGCAAGGCUGAAACUUAAAGGAAUUGGCGGGGGAGCACCACAAGGCGUGAAGCUUGCGGUUCAAUUGGAUUCAACGCCGGAA
Molecule: ribosomal RNA, 601 nt
Filed under: uncultured archaeon
Lineage: Archaea
Description: bacterial SSU rRNA
Rfam family: Archaeal small subunit ribosomal RNA
Source: RNAcentral